Molecule: ribosomal RNA, 497 nt
Filed under: Campylobacter jejuni
Lineage: Bacteria; Pseudomonadati; Campylobacterota; Epsilonproteobacteria; Campylobacterales; Campylobacteraceae
Description: bacterial SSU rRNA
Rfam family: Bacterial small subunit ribosomal RNA
Source: RNAcentral
UUUAUGGAGAGUUUGAUCCUGGCUCAGAGUGAACGCUGGCGGCGUGCCUAAUACAUGCAAGUCGAACGAUGAAGCUUUUAGCUUGCUAGAAGUGGAUUAGUGGCGCACGGGUGAGUAAGGUAUAGUUAAUCUGCCCUACACAAGAGGACAACAGUUGGAAACGACUGCUAAUACUCUAUACUCCUGCUUAACACAAGUUGAGUAGGGAAAGUUUUUCGGUGUAGGAUGAGACUAUAUAGUAUCAGCUAGUUGGUAAGGUAAUGGCUUACCAAGGCUAUGACGCUUAACUGGUCUGAGAGGAUGAUCAGUCACACUGGAACUGAGACACGGUCCAGACUCCUACGGGAGGCAGCAGUAGGGAAUAUUGCGCAAUGGGGGAAACCCUGACGCAGCAACGCCGCGUGGAGGAUGACACUUUUCGGAGCGUAAACUCCUUUUCUUAGGGAAGAAUUCUGACGGUACCUAAGGAAUAAGCACCGGCUAACUCCGUGCCAGCA